Echinops telfairi (small Madagascar hedgehog) is the source of this 201-nucleotide small nucleolar RNA. Its record names the gene SNORA73. It matches the Rfam family "Small nucleolar RNA SNORA73 family". From Rfam's summary of the family: U17 (SNORA73A and SNORA73B) also known as E1 belongs to the H/ACA class of small nucleolar RNAs (snoRNAs). Lineage: Eukaryota; Metazoa; Chordata; Mammalia; Afrosoricida; Tenrecidae. The record is from Ensembl.
CUGAUGUGGGUUCUCCUAGAAGGUCACUAUCCCUGUGCUGUCCAGGUGGCUUGGAGGAGCAUAGGGCUCUACCCCAUGAAGUACAGUUAUUUUUCACAACUUUGACAAUAAAGCUGGGCUUUGCAUUUAUAGCUGUGUAGCCCUACAGAUUCUCAGUCCUUUGCACAGUGACUGAGGAGACAAGCCAUGCAGGAAAUAGCC